UACGUAGGGGGCAAGCGUUGUCCGGAAUUAUUGGGCGUAAAGAGCGCGUAGGCGGUCCGAUAAGUCGGCUGUGAAAGUCAGGGGCUCAACCUCGAGACGUCGGCGGAAACCAUCUGGCUAGAGUCCGGAAGAGGAGAGUGGAAUUCCUGGUGUAGCGGUGAAAUGCGCAGAUAUCAGGAAGAACACCCGUGGCGAAGGCGGCUCUCUGGGACGGUACUGACGCUGAGACGCGAAAGCGUGGGGAGCGAACAGG
Molecule: ribosomal RNA, 253 nt
Filed under: uncultured bacterium
Lineage: Bacteria
Description: partial 16S ribosomal RNA
Rfam family: Bacterial small subunit ribosomal RNA
Source: RNAcentral